UGGGUAAUAUAGAUGCAAGUUUUUAAGUAAUAGCGGUGGGCAAUUUGGUUGCAAAUUAGGGGGUUAUUUUAAAUAUUAUUUAUAAUGGCAUAAGUGGGUAAUUUUGAUGAAGAUUAGGGGGUUACUUUAGUUUAUUUUAUAUAAUGGCAGAGGUGGGUAAUUUAUAUAUAGAUUUAGGGGGUUACUUUAGGCUAUUUUCAUAAUGGCAUAGGUGGGUAAUUUUUUAGAAAACAUAAUAGAUUUAAUGGCUAUGAUGAUUUGAAUCUAUCGAUCAAUGGUCGGAUGUUUUGCUUUUUUGUGAGAAUUUCUAGGAUUUCUCUCUUUUUCUAGAGUGUCCACCUAGGAAUCCUAGGUGGCUUCACCUGGAGGCUUCAAAAGGAGCCUCCAAUUAGUAAUAGUAAGAUAUGUGACGGAGGACAAUUAGUUGGUUGCAGAGAGUAAUUGGAAUCAGCACAUCACACUUCCACACCUGGAAAAAGGUGGGGACGAUGACACUAAGCAGCAGUUGCUUGUUAAAUCGAAGUCUGGUUAUUUUAGUGAAUAACUUGAACUGAUCAGCAAACGACUAGAAGAACAACUGCUACCAAGUAAGAACAACUACAAAAAGAUUACCUGAAUACUGAAUAUGUAUCAACUGAAGAGCAGAGAGCUAUGGUAGAAAAAUGGCAAGAGAGCAAUCCAAGCAUACAUUUCAAAAAAGCAAUCCAAGCAUCCCCAGGUGGUGACCUU
This 729-nucleotide long non-coding RNA is filed under the name Setaria viridis. RNAcentral's name for it is "long non-coding RNA (SVIR_LNC008857)". Lineage: Eukaryota; Viridiplantae; Streptophyta; Magnoliopsida; Poales; Poaceae. The record is from RNAcentral.